AUACAUGCAAGUCGAACGAGUUCUCGUUGAUGAUCGGUGCUUGCACCGAGAUUCAACAUGGAACGAGUGGCGGACGGGUGAGUAACACGUGGGUAACCUGCCCUUAAGUGGGGGAUAACAUUUGGAAACAGAUGCUAAUACCGCAUAGAUCCAAGAACCGCAUGGUUCUUGGCUGAAAGAUGGCGUAAGCUAUCGCUUUUGGAUGGACCCGCGGCGUAUUAGCUAGUUGGUGAGGUAAUGGCUCACCAAGGCGAUGAUACGUAGCCGAACUGAGAGGUUGAUCGGCCACAUUGGGACUGAGACACGGCCCAAACUCCUACGGGAGGCAGCAGUAGGGAAUCUUCCACAAUGGACGCAAGUCUGAUGGAGCAACGCCGCGUGAGUGAAGAAGGCUUUCGGGUCGUAAAACUCUGUUGUUGGAGAAGAAUGGUCGGCAGAGUAACUGUUGUCGGCGUGACGGUAUCCAACCAGAAAGCCACGGCUAACUACGUGCCAGCAGCCGCGGUAAUACGUAGGUGGCAAGCGUUAUCCGGAUUUAUUGGGCGUAAAGCGAGCGCAGGCGGUUUUUUAAGUCUGAUGUGAAAGCCCUCGGCUUAACCGAGGAAGCGCAUCGGAAACUGGGAAACUUGAGUGCAGAAGAGGACAGUGGAACUCCAUGUGUAGCGGUGAAAUGCGUAGAUAUAUGGAAGAACACCAGUGGCGAAGGCGGCUGUCUGGUCUGUAACUGACGCUGAGGCUCGAAAGCAUGGGUAGCGAACAGGAUUAGAUA
Molecule: ribosomal RNA, 769 nt
Filed under: Lactobacillus casei group sp.
Lineage: Bacteria; Bacillati; Bacillota; Bacilli; Lactobacillales; Lactobacillaceae
Description: bacterial SSU rRNA
Rfam family: Bacterial small subunit ribosomal RNA
Source: RNAcentral